GCCAAGAGGAAUUCCAAAAGCUAAUUGAAAGGUUAUCCCUUUGGAAGAAAUAGUGCAAAGCCAGAAAUCUCAGCUGCAAAACAUACUUAAACACAAGGCUCAAGGCCUUGUUUGAUAGAUGUUAAUCACAUAGAAACAGAAUGGGAUAAUUUCUACAUUUCUACAUGUUUUCAUUUUUUUUUCUUUUCACUUUUAUAGACCAUGUUUUCAAAAGCAUCACCACCUCCUCAAAGUUUUUAGCUUGUGUUGUAGAAAGCAUAUGAGGUUGUUAAUCUUUUCAGCCUUUUGUCAAUUGUAAUCACUUAGUACCCAAACCAUUUCAGGCCCUAGCAAUAGCUUUUCUCAUUGCUAGUUAGCAAGUUUUGGUUACAUUGUGUAUUGAACAUUGCAACAAAACAAAAAAAAACACAUUGUGUAUUGAAGCAAUCUAAUUUAGCUUUUUUUUAAUUAUGGUUAUGCUGUGUUUAUCACAUGUGCAAAAAUUUAUGGGAAAAUGUUAUCAUAAUGGCAAUCAUGUCGAAACCACAAUAUUAUGAUUACAAUUGCAGGUGUAGAAUGCAAUUUAAAACAAUGUUAGUUAGUACACCGUAUAUAAUUUUUACCUUUGAAAUCAUGUCAUGCACAUUUAUUGUGGCUAUUGGUGCUAUUGCACUUCCUUCUGUCGCAGCCUCACUCUCUUUUGCGCCUUAAUAUCAGCAGACAAUGGCAGCUAUGAAUUACGGAAAGGAUGCUUUUAGGUUCAAUCAGAGAAUUAAAUCAAAUAAAAGUUGUUUGUUGCCAUUCAAC
RNAcentral lists this long non-coding RNA (786 nucleotides) under Lupinus angustifolius (narrow-leaved blue lupine). RNAcentral describes it as "long non-coding RNA (LANG_LNC002797)". Lineage: Eukaryota; Viridiplantae; Streptophyta; Magnoliopsida; Fabales; Fabaceae. The record is from RNAcentral.